This 1152-nucleotide long non-coding RNA is filed under the name Amphibalanus amphitrite. Its description in RNAcentral is "uncharacterized LOC122367758". The record is from RNAcentral. Lineage: Eukaryota; Metazoa; Arthropoda; Thecostraca; Balanomorpha; Balanidae.
AAAAAACUUCCCCGCUUAAAUUUUUCGCUGCAUGGCUAUCAGCCGUUUGUCGCGCGUACCUUUACGAACGGCAUAAAGAUUUCGCCGCCAUAAUUCAACAAAAACGUGCUGUUAAAACUUGCUCUGUUUAUCAUUAACGACGAGCCUUUGUAAUUUUUUCAUAAUUUUGUCUAAAAGAAAAUAAAAAAUGCGUUAUAUAGUUGUAUAAUUCAUUUGUAAGAAAUAUUCUUUUUCUUUGUAUCCAGCCACGAUUUCCGGUUCCCGCCAUUUCGCGCCGGCGUCGUGGGUGUUUGGAUGCAACGUAGUGCUCUCGGUUUUAUUUUGUUUAAGCGACCUUUUCUGAAGUGUUAACCAAGGAUCAAACACUGGUUGUUGCGGGGAUCGGCUUCAGAGGGUCAAGGAUGGCGUCUUGAAUCGCUGUUCAGUCGACAGGCAACUGUAUGACAACGCCAUCCCUGUCAACCAGAGCGUCGACCGAAGUAGGGCGGCGUUGCGCGGACCUGGCCGCACCCGACCAACCGGUGCCCGGUGGAGUACCUGACUCGGGCUGGGCCGAGACUACCUACAUCACGACCUUUUGAACUUUGAUCUCGUGGCGAGAAACAAUAUGACGUAAGGAAGUGUGUAUGUGGCUGGCGGGGCCGAGGGUGAAAUGCGCCACGUGUUUAUCCUGCCGGAUGACGACAGCGUCACCAACCUGUCAAAGAACGAGCUGGUGCAGCGCGUGAUGACUGCUAUCUCGUCCCUAGAACCGGAGUAGAAAAACGUGCGCAUAGCCCAAAUGAAGCGAACCAAAACACAGACAGGACUGAUAGCUUUUUGGUCGAGAAUGUUCUGAAGAUGCUGAUCAGUAAACCAAUUGGUGACCGUUUUCGGUGGUAAUAUGGGAUCUUGUGGUGUUCCAAAGCGACCUGCUUUGGGUGUGGACAUAAGUGGCUCAACCUGACAGGAUUGAUGUUUUAGGUAGCCGUGCUAAUCAUAAACCCUAUAUUGAGUGUAUCUGUACAAAUUUUGUUAAUAUUUAUUUCAUGUAUUUGAUUCGAAACCGAAAAUUGCUCUUUGUAAUUAGGCAACAUCGAGACGUUGAGGUCAUUCUCCAGACGUUUAUUUGUUUUUUCUUACCUGUCCACGGUAUGUCUUAUUGGUUAGGUC